RNAcentral lists this ribosomal RNA (487 nucleotides) under uncultured bacterium. RNAcentral describes it as "bacterial SSU rRNA". It matches the Rfam family "Bacterial small subunit ribosomal RNA", at positions 328 to 793 of the family's 1533-position model. The record is from RNAcentral.
GACGACGACUCCUACGGGAGGCAGCAGUGGGGGAAUAUUGCACAAUGGGCGCAAGCCUGAUGCAGCCAUGCCGCGUGUAUGAAGAAGGCCUUCGGGUUGUAAAGUACUUUCAGCGGGGAGGAAGGCGAUGCGGUUAAUAACCGCGUCGAUUGACGUUACCCCGCAGAAGAAGCACCGGCUAACUCCGUGCCAGCAGCCGCGGUAAUACGGAGGGUGCAAGCGUUAAUCGGAAAUUACUGGGGACGUAAAGCGCACGCAGGCGGUCUGUUAAGUCAGAUGUGAAACUCCCCCGGGCUUAACCGUGGGAACUGCUAUUUGAAAACUGGCAGGCUUGAGUCUUGUAGGAGGGGGUAGAAUUCCAGGUGUAGCGGUGAAAUGCGUAGAGAUCUGGAGGAAUACCGGUGGCGAAGGCCGGCCCCCUGGAACAAAGACUGACGCUCAGGUGACGAAAGCGGUGGGGAGCAAACAGGAUUAGAUACCCUGGUAG